GCCAGCAGCCGCGGUAACACCGGCGGCCCGAGUGGUGAUCGUGAUUAUUGGGUCUAAAGGGUCCGUAGCCGGUUUGGUCAGUCCUCCGGGAAAUCUGAUAGCUCAACUAUUAGGCUUUCGGGGGAUACUGCCAGACUUGGAACCGGGAGAGGUAAGAGGUACUACAGGGGUAGGAGUGAAAUCUUGUAAUCCCCUGUGGGACCACCUGUGGCGAAGGCGUCUUACCAGAACGGGUUCGACGGUGAGGACGAAAGCUGGGGGCACGAACCGGAUUAGAUACCCGGGUAGUCCCAGCCGUAAACGAUGCUCGCUAGGUGUCAGGCAUGGCGCGACCGUGUCUGGUGCCGCAGGGAAGCCGUGAAGCGAGCCACCUGGGAAGUACGGCCGCAAGGCUGAAACUUAAAGGAAUUGGCGGGGGAGCACAACAACGGGUGGAGCCCUGCGGUUUAAUUGGACUCAACGCCGGACAACUCACCGGGGGCGACAGCAAUAUGUAGGCCAAGCUGAAGACUUUGCCUGAAUCGCUGAGAAGAGGUGCAUGG
This 542-nucleotide ribosomal RNA is filed under the name uncultured archaeon. RNAcentral's name for it is "bacterial SSU rRNA". It matches the Rfam family "Archaeal small subunit ribosomal RNA", at positions 457 to 997 of the family's 1478-position model. The record is from RNAcentral.